AAGACGUAGGGAGCGAGCGUUGUCCGGAUUCAUUGGGCGUAAAGAGCGCGUAGGCGGCCGUGCAAGUCGGUUGUGAAAUCCCGGGGCUCAACCCCGGGACUGCGUCCGAUACUGUGCGGCUCGAGGCAGGUAGGGGAGAGUGGAAUUCCCGGUGUAGCGGUGAAAUGCGCAGAUAUCGGGAGGAACACCGGUGGCGAAGGCGGCUCUCUGGACCUGUCCUGACGCUGAGGCGCGAAAGCUAGGGGAGCGAACAGGA
RNAcentral lists this ribosomal RNA (256 nucleotides) under uncultured prokaryote. RNAcentral's name for it is "partial 16S ribosomal RNA". It matches the Rfam family "Bacterial small subunit ribosomal RNA", at positions 522 to 777 of the family's 1533-position model. The record is from RNAcentral.